CCACCACUAAGCCAGUGGUGAACUCCACAUACGCAUCCUUUGCUGAGGAUACGGUUAACGGAGCGAAAGCGACGUUCAACCUCAAAAGAAGCAGAGGGGGCUUAGUGGUGGGGUGACUGCGUACCUUUUGUAUAAUGGGUCAGCGACUUAUAUUCUGUAGCAAGGUUAACCGAAUAGGGGAGCCGCAGGGAAACCGAGUCUUAACCGGGCGUUAAGUUGCAGGGUAUAGACCCGAAACCCGGUGAUCUAGCCAUGGGCAGGUUGAAGGUUGGGUAACACUAACUGGAGGACCGAACCGACUAAUGUUGAAAAAUUAGCGGAUGACCUGUGGCUGGGGGUGAAAGGCCAAUCAAACCGGGAGAUAGCUGGUUCUCCCCGAAAGCUAUUUAGGUAGCGCCUCGUGAAUUCAUCUCCGGGGGUAGAGCACUGUUUCGGCUAGGGGGCCAUCCCGGCUUACCAACCCGAUGCAAACUGCGAAUACCGGAGAAUGUUAUCACGGGAGACACACGGCGGGUGCUAACGUCCGUCGUGAAGAGGGAAACAACCCAGACCGCCAGCUAAGGUCCCAAAGUCAUGGUUAAGUGGGAAACGAUGUGGGAAGGCCCAGACAGCCAGGAUGUUGGCUUAGAAGCAGCCAUCAUUUAAAGAAAGCGUAAUAGCUCACUGGUCGAGUCGGCCUGCGCGGAAGAUGUAACGGGGCUAAACCAUGCACCGAAGCUGCGGCAGCGACGCUGAUGCGUUGUUGGGUAGGGGAGCGUUCUGUAAGCCUGUGAAGGUGGCCUGUGAGGGUUGCUGGAGGUAUCAGAAG
RNAcentral lists this ribosomal RNA (808 nucleotides) under Salmonella enterica subsp. enterica serovar Poona. RNAcentral describes it as "partial 23S ribosomal RNA". The stretch from base 89 to 808 matches the Rfam family "Bacterial large subunit ribosomal RNA", at positions 568 to 1288 of the family's 2925-position model. The record is from RNAcentral. Lineage: Bacteria; Pseudomonadati; Pseudomonadota; Gammaproteobacteria; Enterobacterales; Enterobacteriaceae.